RNAcentral lists this ribosomal RNA (502 nucleotides) under uncultured bacterium. RNAcentral describes it as "bacterial SSU rRNA". It matches the Rfam family "Bacterial small subunit ribosomal RNA", at positions 8 to 507 of the family's 1533-position model. The record is from RNAcentral.
AGAGUUUGAUCCUGGCUCAGAUUGAACGCUGGCGGAAUGCUUUACACAUGCAAGUCGAACGGCAGCACGGGGCAACCUGGUGGCGAGUGGCGAACGGGUGAGUAAUACAUCGGAACGUGCCCAAUCGUGGGGGAUAACGUAGCGAAAGUUACGCUAACACCGCAUACGAUCUACGGAUGAAAGCGGGGGAUCGCAAGACCUCGCGCGAAUGGAGCGGCCGAUGUCAGAUUAGGUAGUUGGUGGGGUAAAGGCUCACCAAGCCGACGAUCCGUAGCUGGUCUGAGAGGACGACCAGCCACACUGGGACUGAGACACGGCCCAGACUCCUACGGGAGGCAGCAGUGGGGAAUUUUGGACAAUGGGCGCAAGCCUGAUCCAGCCAUUCCGCGUGCAGGAUGAAGGCCUUCGGGUUGUAAAGCUCUUUCGGCCGGGAAGAAAUCGCAUGGGUUAAUACCCUGUGUGGAUGACGGUACCGGAAUAAGAAGCACCGGCUAACUACGUG